Molecule: non-coding RNA, 417 nt
Organism: Protopterus annectens (West African lungfish)
Lineage: Eukaryota; Metazoa; Chordata; Ceratodontiformes; Protopteridae
Product: small Cajal body-specific RNA 2
Exons: 1
Source: RefSeq, a predicted model, not a curated record
GGUAAAAGGCGGGGUUUCCCAUAAUGCCAUUGGAAUUUGAGUUUAAAAGACGAGUUCCGGAAGGCGUUUGAGUAUGAAUGCGAGUGAUAGUGUGUGUAUAUGUGUGAGUGAAUGUCUGUGUGGAAGGGAGGUUUGUUACUGUGAGUGUUUUCUUCAUUUGUGUAAUCUACACGUUGAUCUUAUUUGAUCGGGCUGGUGUGGGGCCCGGCCCAGCCUGAAAUGAGAAGACUUCCUCCGUGAGCUGAUGGUCAUCCUUCGGCAGUGCGCGUGAGGCAACGAGAACGGGCGCCGUGCCUGAGGGCACGGAAAGUUCAGAGGUGAUGAGUCGAUCAGAUAUACUAGGCCCGGGUGGCCUGUACCCUCACGGGUUUCAGGCGGCAAACUUGGCCCAUGAGUAUAGAGGCGAUUCUGAUCUGA